UACCAGACUCCUACGGGAGGCAGCAGUGAGGAAUAUUGGUCAAUGGGCUUACGCCUGAACCAGCCAAGUCGCGUGAGGGAAGACUGCCCUAUGGGUUGUAAACCUCUUUUGUCAGGGAGCAAUUGGCGCUACGUGUAGCGUUAUCGAGAGUACCUGAAGAAAAAGCAUCGGCUAACUCCGUGCCAGCAGCCGCGGUAAUACGGAGGAUGCGAGCGUUAUCCGGAUUUAUUGGGUUUAAAGGGUGCGUAGGCGGACGCUUAAGUAAGCGGUAAAAUUGCGGGGCUCAACCUCGUCGAGCCGUUGAAACUGGGUGCCUUGAGUGGGCGAGAAGUACGCGGAAUGCGUGGUGUAGCGGUGAAAUGCAUAGAUAUCACGCAGAACUCCGAUUGCGAAGGCAGCGCACCGGCGCCCUACUGACGCUCAGGCACGAAAGCGUGGGUAUCGAACAGGAUUAGAUACCCCGGUAUC
This 468-nucleotide ribosomal RNA is filed under the name uncultured bacterium. RNAcentral describes it as "bacterial SSU rRNA". It matches the Rfam family "Bacterial small subunit ribosomal RNA", at positions 329 to 795 of the family's 1533-position model. The record is from RNAcentral.